GAUGAACGCUAGCUACAGGCUUAACACAUGCAAGUCGAGGGGAAACGACAUCGAAAGCUUGCUUUUGAUGGGCGUCGACCGGCGCACGGGUGAGUAACGCGUAUCCCACCUGCCCACCACUUGGGGAUAACCUUGCGAAAGUAAGACUAAUACCCAAUGAUAUCUCUAGAAGACAUCUGAAAGAGAUUAAAGAUUUAUCGGUGAUGGAUGGGGAUGCGUCUGAUUAGCUUGUUGGCGGGGUAACGGCCCACCAAGGCAACGAUCAGUAGGGGUUCUGAGAGGAAGGUCCCCCAGAUUGGAACUGAGACACGGGCCAAACUCCUACGGGAGGCAGCAGUGAGGAAUAUUGGUGAAUGGACGAGAGUCUGAACCAGCCAAGUAGCGUGCAGGAAGACGGCGCUAUGGGUUGUAAACUGCUUUUAUAAGGGAAUAAAGUGAGUCUCGUGAGACUUUUUGCAUGUACCUUAUGAAUAAGGACCGGCUAAUUCCGUG
RNAcentral lists this ribosomal RNA (492 nucleotides) under uncultured bacterium. RNAcentral's name for it is "partial 16S ribosomal RNA". It matches the Rfam family "Bacterial small subunit ribosomal RNA", at positions 28 to 507 of the family's 1533-position model. The record is from RNAcentral.